This 1257-nucleotide long non-coding RNA is filed under the name Heterocephalus glaber (naked mole-rat). RNAcentral's name for it is "lncRNA (ENSHGLG00000039092.1)". Lineage: Eukaryota; Metazoa; Chordata; Mammalia; Rodentia; Bathyergidae. The record is from RNAcentral.
CCCGGAAGUGAGGCAGCAAGGUCAAUUCACUCCAUCCCGGCAAUUUGGAUACUCAACAAGACCCUGUUUUAACUUGAGCAAUUGAGAGAGGGCUGGGGCUGGGGCUCGGUGUGAAGACUCUUCAUUCCACGCCCAGAGCAAAGCAAGACAGAAACCAGAAACCGGGCCAGCCCAGCGUCCGCCCGCAGGCCCCUCCCUCCGUGGACGCAGCGCCCUCCCGGCAGCCUCUCCCUUCUGGGUCACUCCAGGUUCCAGCACUGGGUUGUUUGCGUAAGAAUCAGGAGCCGUACAAGCCCCUCUGUCAAGCUCCGGGCCUGUGGUUUUCGCCACGGCAACACAGAGCCAGGCUAGGGUGCCGCCCGCUGCUGCUGCCCGGCUCUGUCCGCAGUGGGCUGUCCUCCCUCCCUCUCAACUCUCAACCUUGCUGCGCUCCUCGGAGGCCGGCAGGCGGGCGAAGCCUGGCAUCUCUCACUCCAGUGUCGAGCUGUGGCUCCUUCAGUCCUUCUAUUCAGCCCACGGCAGCAUCGCCCUGCAGCCCCUUGAGAUCCCGACCCUUCAGACCCUGUGGGUCGUCCAGUGUGGCUGUGCAGACUGGACACACUUUCUCCGUAAAGCCCAGCGCCAUCCACGGCUCCUGGCUGUGAGCAGCUGCCACUUCAUUCCUUCCGUUUCUGCAGAGUCACGCUGUUCGCCUGCCACAGUGUUGCCCGUGUGCGCUGUCCUGGCCGAGACCCUUGACUGUCCCGCCCCUCGGGACACCUGUGGUCGCCGCCCCUCCUCCGUCCAGAGGCGGAGGAGACGUUUGGGGCGGCCCCCAGAGUCCCCUCCCCGCCCACCUCUCCCGCGUCCCCUCGACCUCCUCCUGGGGGCGCGGCGGGCUGAGGUGACAGCAAGUCCGCCUGCCCUCCGGGACCGCGACAGGAAGCGCUAGGCCGGCGCCGCGGGGACCCAAGGCCCAGCAAGCACGCGGGAGCAGGGCAGGACGCCUGCUCGGGGUGGCUGCUCCCUUCCCGCCGCCUGGGCCCCGCUCUGCCACGGGCACCGAACCGAGGAGGAGCCAGGUGGACACGGCGCGGCCUGGGCUGGCCUCCCGCAUGGCCCCGGGGGCUCCCACGGUCAGCUGCCUCGCAGGUGCAGACCUGCAUCCAGGCCCCUGGAGCUCGCAGUGGUCACCUCAGCAGGCCACCGCUGCCCUGGCUGCCAGCGUCCUGGGCUCAGGCCCUGUCUUGCUCUGUGGCGUCCACAGCUCCCUGCCUG